AUGGGAUGGCCACACGCCCGUAGCCUCUCCGGUUUCUUCUCUCCGAGCGGCACCGGCUCCGGCGUGCCCUCUCGAUCCAGAAAACUCAGGCGACGCAGGCCGCCAUGGCCGGUGGAUGUCUGCCCAUGCUCAACAAAGGACAAACCUCCCGGAAACACCGCACCACGUGCUCCGGUGGAGCAAACUUUAGGCGAGAUGAAUGAGAGACAUCAGGCGUGGCGCCGUCGGUCGGCACCGGAACAUGCCGGACCGUGCCGGGAGCCGAAGAUGGCCGCGCAAGGCACGGAGGACGCCGAAAGGCCGCGCAUGGCGUAUCCUCGAUCCGGAUCCGUCCAGGGAAUUUCGAUCGGGAAAUCUCCCGUCGGGCAACCACCGCCCCCGCCUCGGCGGUUUCCGGUGGUCUUCGCCUGUCCGCGCCUGCUAAUUAAGAAAUGCACUGUGCUGGUGGCUGGACGGACGAACGAACGCGGCAACCACCAUGAUCGAUCGGCCUGGCUGGCCAGACAGAGGGACAGAUCGAGCUUUGUUCCCAAGAAAUCUUGA
This 543-nucleotide ribosomal RNA is filed under the name Triticum aestivum (bread wheat). RNAcentral's name for it is "partial small subunit ribosomal RNA". The record is from RNAcentral. Lineage: Eukaryota; Viridiplantae; Streptophyta; Magnoliopsida; Poales; Poaceae.